This 472-nucleotide ribosomal RNA is filed under the name uncultured bacterium. Its description in RNAcentral is "partial 16S ribosomal RNA". It matches the Rfam family "Bacterial small subunit ribosomal RNA", at positions 28 to 507 of the family's 1533-position model. The record is from RNAcentral.
GACGAACGCUGGCGGCGUGCUUAACACAUGCAAGUCGAACGAUGAACCCGGAGCUUGCUCUGGGGGAUUAGUGGCGAACGGGUGAGUAACACGUGAGUAACCUGCCCUGGACUCUGGGAUAAGCGUUGGAAACGACGUCUAAUACCGGAUAGGACCUUGGAUCGCAUGAUCUGGGGUGGAAAGUUUUUUCGGUCUGGGAUGGACUCGCGGCCUAUCAGCUUGUUGGUGAGGUAAUGGCUCACCAAGGCGUCGACGGGUAGCCGGCCUGAGAGGGUGACCGGCCACACUGGGUCUGAGACACGGCCCAGACUGCUACGGGAGGGAGCAAGGGGGAAUAUUGCACAAUGGGCGAAAGCCUGAUGCAGCAACGCCGCGUGCGGGAUGACGGCCGUCGGGUUGUAAACCGCUUUUAGUAGGGAAGAAGGGCUUCGGCUUGACGGUACCUGCAGAAAAAGGACCGGCUAACUACGUG